Long non-coding RNA from Hibiscus syriacus, 1185 nucleotides. RefSeq lists it as uncharacterized. NCBI's taxonomy places the organism in Eukaryota, Viridiplantae, Streptophyta, Magnoliopsida, Malvales, Malvaceae. The record is from RefSeq and is a predicted model, not a curated record. The transcript has 3 exons.
UUCAAUAAUAUAUAUAUAUAUUCAUUUGUGAAUGUAUUAUUAUUGCAAUAUUUAGUGCUAAUUCUUUUUUCUUUUUAAAUUGUAGUUUAGUGUUCAUGAAUAAAAAAUGCAUCCAUUCCCCCCUUCUUAAAAGCAGGAAAAGAAAAUGAUUUUUGUGUGUGUGUAAUUUCGAAAUAACUCGGUAUUUGCUCGAAAAAUGUUGUGUUUUUAGGCUUUCAACUGCUGUUGCUACCAGUGUUUAAUUCUUUCCACCUUAAUGUGUUGUUCUAAUUUGGGUUAAUGGAAGCUCUUCGCCUCUUCCUUACCUUUCCUGUUUUCUUCCUGAAUUUAACUUUUAGUAGCAUUUGUUUCAUCUUGUCUUGUUUCGGUCAGAGCAUUAUGCGGCAAGGCAAAGGAGAUAUUAAUGAAAGAAAUCAAUGUCCAGGUUUAUCAUCUUAGUUUGCUCAUGUUUCAGGCAUCUAUGGUCUAUAUUUAUUUAUCUAUCAGUGAAUUUUGGAAAUGAUGAGAUUGCUCCCCCUUGAACUGGGUAAACAUUGAUUUGGUUUUCUUUUGAAUUACAGCCUCUGAGAAGUCAUGUGACACUUUGUGGUGAUAUUCAUUGACAGUUUCAUGAUCUUGCUGAACUUUUUCGAAUUGGAGGGAAGAUAUGAAAUUGGACAAGACAUGUAAUGAACAACAUGGGGAGCAAGGAUUCGUAUUGUGAUGUUUGGUUCCUCGAAGAGUUUCUGGGCAAAUUUUCUGUUUACUGGGACGAUGGAAAGGCAAAUAUUGAAAUAAAGGUUAAGAAUUCUAUCAAAAAAAAUAAAGGUUAAGAAUCAGAGGAAAUCAUGCAAGGCUAAAUUGGCUCUGAUCUAAGCGGCUGAGCGGAAGUGCUGUUGGAGAGGAGAAGAUGCCUAUCUAAACUAUUCAGAGUAAAUUGGUGACAUUGGGAGAGGCAAAACGAGUUGGCUGCCUUUAAGGCUUUAUGAAAGAAUGGAUGAUGGAAUGGAAUGGACAAAGACAUAGACAGUGGUCCUAGGAUGCCCUCUCCAAGCUCGAAAGGAAAGGAAAAAGCUAGACCACACCUUGUAGAUGAAGAUGAUGAAGUUAUGCUAAGGAGAGUGACACUGAAAAAGAAGACAUUGGGGAUUGUGAGACGGAUGAGGAGGAAGAUGAUGACAUACCACUUGACGAUGAUGAUGACGA